Molecule: transfer RNA, 73 nt
Filed under: Harpegnathos saltator (Jerdon's jumping ant)
Lineage: Eukaryota; Metazoa; Arthropoda; Insecta; Hymenoptera; Formicidae
Rfam family: tRNA
About the family: Transfer RNA (tRNA) molecules are approximately 80 nucleotides in length. Their secondary structure includes four short double-helical elements and three loops (D, anti-codon, and T loops).
Source: Rfam by way of RNAcentral
AGAUAGAUAGCUCAGCGGUCUAGAGCAGUCGCCCGGCAAGCGAAAGAUACGGGUUCGAUUCCCGGUCUAGCAG